Molecule: non-coding RNA, 288 nt
Organism: Camelina sativa (false flax)
Lineage: Eukaryota; Viridiplantae; Streptophyta; Magnoliopsida; Brassicales; Brassicaceae
Source: RefSeq, a predicted model, not a curated record
UACAGACUGACAUUUGUUUUGUGUGGUGUAGAUCAUUCAAGACUUAGACUCACUCAUGAGACUUCUUUUGUGAGAGAACAUAUAAGUUUCUGGACAACCAUUACUUUCUUCUUUUACGUCGGAUGCUUACUAAGGCAGUUAUUUGUAUAUGUGAGAAGAACCGAGUACUUCACUCUGCGUCAUGGAUUCAUCUCUGCUCAUUUGGCCCUACUGUUAAAGUUCAACUUCCAGAGUUAUAUCUAACGAUCUCUCGAGGACGAUUUCAAGUUGGUAGUUGGAAUAAGGUUA